GACGAACGCUGGCGGCGUGCUUAACACAUGCCAGUCGAACGGAAAGGCCCUGCUUUUGUGGGGUGCUCGAGUGGCGAACGGGUGAGUAACACGUGAGUAACCUGCCCUUGACUUUGGGAUAACUUCAGGAAACUGGGGCUCAUACCGGAUAGGAGCUCCUGCUGCAUGGUGGGGGUUGGAAAGUUUCGGCGGUUGGGGAUGGACUCGCGGCUUAUCAGCUUGUUGGUGGGGUAGUGGCUUACCAAGGCUUUGACGGGUAGCCGGCCUGAGAGGGUGACCGGCCACAUUGGGACUGAGAUACGGCCCAGACUCCUACGGGAGGCAGCAGUGGGGAAUAUUGCACAAUGGGCGGAAGCCUGAUGCAGCAACGCCGCGUGCGGGAUGACGGCCUUCGGGUUGUAAACCGCUUUCGCCUGUGACGAAGCGUGAGUGACGGUAAUGGGUAAAGAAGCACCGGCUAACUACGUG
RNAcentral lists this ribosomal RNA (468 nucleotides) under uncultured bacterium. Its description in RNAcentral is "partial 16S ribosomal RNA". It matches the Rfam family "Bacterial small subunit ribosomal RNA", at positions 28 to 507 of the family's 1533-position model. The record is from RNAcentral.